Long non-coding RNA from Sebastes umbrosus (honeycomb rockfish), 1117 nucleotides. RefSeq lists it as uncharacterized. The transcript has 3 exons. The record is from RefSeq and is a predicted model, not a curated record. NCBI's taxonomy places the organism in Eukaryota, Metazoa, Chordata, Actinopteri, Perciformes, Sebastidae.
UCCAAUCUCGCCUACUUCAGCUUUAAUCUCUUGAAUAACUGUGCAAUAACACAGCAAUACUGUAAAAAAACAAUAUGGAUGUCUGCUGUUUGAACAGGUGGUCGAGCGCUCACACCAAAACAAUGCACACAUCACAGACUCACAUCAUGAAUGAGAUUCACAUUAUCCCACCUCUAUUUUUAGACGUUUCACAGUUCACCUAUAUAGCUUCUUCUGCUACGAUAACACUACUGAUUAAUGUGAACUUGUGUGAGUAAAUCUCUCCUGGGAGCAUGAUUCCACUCCAGGUGACCCCUUCCAAGUGGUUGUAAAUGGUUUUGUUAGAGAACCAAUAGCUGUGGUUACGUUGUAAGCAGAUGUGCAGAUGUUUAGCAGAUUUCACUGCUUUUAUGAAGAUUGCUACAUUUGAACAUUAAGGACCCUUUCUCAAACUGCUCUCCCUCACUGGCACUUAACUACGGAGUAUCUCUCCACAUGAAACUACCGUCACAGCUGUGGAUUGUUAAGGGGUGGGUAUAAAUAAACAAGUAAAUUGUGGGAUACACUCACCGCUCUCAGGAAACAUCCAUUACCACGGAUACUGAUAGACGCCUUGCUUCUGUUCCUGUCAGCUCCUGAGCCCAGCUGUUGUGUAAUAUGUUGUUUUUGCUGUUUCCCUGCAAAUGAAGAAUGUCUCUAAAACACUGAAGUGCCAAACAUGCAUCCCCCACUAAAAACCACUGAUCCACACCAGAAAAGAGCAGCAGGAUGCGGGAGGGUGCACACAGAGCUGACAAGAGCAGAGCAACAGAUGGGAAGUCCGGGAGGAGGGAACCCAGGAGACAGCGUCUAACAGAGAUGGCGUAGGAGAAGGCAUCGACAGCAGCCGCCAAUCCUUAGCUCAGCUGGAGUGGCAUUGGGGAUCCACCCCCACAAGGAAACAAAGACAGAAGAAGAUCACUUCACUUUAGAAGGGAGAUCUAUCAAAAAUACACAUCCAUAAACAAACUAAAAUAUAAAUCCAACACAUAGAUAACCCCAGCGUUUCAUCAUCGUGUCCGGUUAACUGUUUCAUCUCAUAAUAAAAUUGUAUUAUUGUUCCAUAAAGGUGCUUGAGGGGUUUUGAAUAUGUGUAUUA